Molecule: ribosomal RNA, 253 nt
Filed under: uncultured bacterium
Lineage: Bacteria
Description: partial 16S ribosomal RNA
Rfam family: Bacterial small subunit ribosomal RNA
Source: RNAcentral
UACGUAGGCAGCAAGCGUUGUUCGGAGUUACUGGGCGUAAAGGGUGUGUAGGCGGUUCCUUAAGUUUGCUGUGAAAUCUCCCGGCUUAACCGGGAGGGUGCGGUGAAUACUGAGGGACUAGAGUACGGGAGAGGGAUGUAGAAUUCCAGGUGUAGCGGUGAAAUGCGUAGAUAUCUGGAGGAAUACCGGUGGCGAAGGCGGCAUCCUGGACCAUAACUGACGCUGAGGCGCGAAAGCUAGGGGAGCAAACGGG